RNAcentral lists this ribosomal RNA (253 nucleotides) under uncultured bacterium. Its description in RNAcentral is "partial 16S ribosomal RNA". It matches the Rfam family "Bacterial small subunit ribosomal RNA", at positions 524 to 776 of the family's 1533-position model. The record is from RNAcentral.
UACGUAGGGGGCAAGCGUUGUCCGGAAUCAUUGGGCGUAAAGCGCGUGUAGGCGGCCCGAUAAGUCCGCUGUGAAAGUCCAGGGCUCAACCCUGGGAUGCCGGUGGAUACUGUCAGGCUCGAGUCCGGAAGAGGCGAGUGGAAUUCCUGGUGUAGCGGUGAAAUGCGCAGAUAUCAGGAGGAACACCAACGGCGAAGGCAGCUCGCUGGGACGGUACUGACGCUGAGACGCGAAAGCGUGGGGAGCGAACAGG